CUGGCGAAAGAAGCCGUACAGCAGCGAGCCGCAGUGGUCGCAAAAGGUCGGCGACAUAAAGGUGUAAACUCUAAAGCGAUGCGUUUGGCACGCUAUGGAGGAGAGGAAGAAAGCAUCAUUAGUAGUACAUAGAGCUGGGAUGGAAAUGAGGCAGCAUUUUGAGCGGUUCCGGGCUGCUGUUGUCAUAUUUUUCGCCUGGUUUACUCUCCAUCGUUUUCGGUCAUAAAUUUUUUGGCUCAGAUUGUGCAGUUUCGACAGGUUGCAUGUUUUGACAGUACAAUGGAUGUAUUGGGACGUUCGGUCGUUUGCUAGCUGUUGCUCCCAAGACACCAAUGUUUGACAGUGUUUGCCAGCUAAGGUAUCACAUUUUGACAGUGUAAAUCAACUUUAGUUUACCAGCAACUCUUCGUUUUUGGAUUCUGGGUGCAAAUUAGGUAUGUGCGGAAUAUGAGCAAAUAUGUGAGUAUACC
Molecule: long non-coding RNA, 470 nt
Organism: Anopheles merus
Lineage: Eukaryota; Metazoa; Arthropoda; Insecta; Diptera; Culicidae
Exons: 3
Source: RefSeq, a predicted model, not a curated record